CCUGGACUGGUGGUUCUCCAAUUCAUGGCGUCUGUGCAGGUACUUCCUGUCACUCCUUCUCUAUGUUGGACCCCCUGUUUCCACAUCUUUUUCACUGGCUUACUCCCUUGCAAGGAUGGAGAGCAUACUCCAGUACCUUCCCAAGAAAGGGUGUAUGAAAGAGCCAUUUCUCCAACCUGGCAGGUUGUCUCUCCAUCCCCGUGUCUGAGGACAGCAGCACCUGGUUCCGGGUCUCCCUUUCCAGUCUGCUGUCGUCUUCUCUGACCUCAGAACGUGGUCUGCACUCUCUGGCUUGGACAUCCGUGCCAGGUUGGUUCUAUCUGCCUGGAAUCCCAAGUUGUAAUUGUUCUCCAAGGCCUUGAAAAUGCUGUUUCCUCCAUGAAGACUUUGUGAUCCAUCUGACAAGAAGCCCUCUCUUCCUCUAAAACGUCAUACCAUUCGAUCUAGACCUGACUCGUGGUGUUUAUUUUCUACCAUG
Rhinolophus ferrumequinum (greater horseshoe bat) is the source of this 478-nucleotide long non-coding RNA. RefSeq lists it as uncharacterized. The record is from RefSeq and is a predicted model, not a curated record. Lineage: Eukaryota; Metazoa; Chordata; Mammalia; Chiroptera; Rhinolophidae. The transcript is spliced from 3 exons.